UACGGAGGGUGCAAGCGUUGCUCGGAAUUACUGGGCGUAAAGCGAGUGUAGGUGGUUGUCCAAGUUGGAUGUGAAAGCCUUGAGCUCAACUCAAGAAAUGCAUUCAGGACUGGAUGACUAGAGGACCGGAGAGGAUAGUGGAAUUCCCAGUGUAGUGGUGAAAUACGUAGAGAUUGGGAAGAACACCAGUGGCGAAGGCGGCUAUCUGGACGGUUUCUGACACUAAGACUCGAAAGCGUGGGGAGCAAACAGG
Molecule: ribosomal RNA, 253 nt
Filed under: uncultured bacterium
Lineage: Bacteria
Description: partial 16S ribosomal RNA
Rfam family: Bacterial small subunit ribosomal RNA
Source: RNAcentral